AACGAACGCUGGCGGCGUGCCUAAGCCAUGCAAGUCGAACGGGUUGUCGCAAGACAAUCAGUGGCGAACUGGUGAGUAAUACGUGGGUAAUCUGCCCGAGAGUGGGGAAUAGCCCUUCCAACGAGGGGGUAACACCGCAUAUUAUCGCGAAUCCGCAUGGAUUUGCGAUGAAAACAGGGGAUCGCAAGACCUUGUGCUCUCGGAUGAACCCGCGCCCCAUUAGCUAGUUGGUGAGGUAAAGGCCCACCAAGGCGAUGAUGGGUAGCCGGCCUGAGAGGGUGUACGGCCACACUGGGACUGAGAUACGGCCCAGACUCCUACGGGAGGCAGCAGCUAAGAAUAUUCCGCAAAUGGACGAAAGUCUGACGGAGCGACGCCGCGUGGAUGAAGAAGGCCGAAAGGUUGUAAAGUUCUUUUGCUAGGGGAGAAUAAGUGAGGGAGGGAAUGCCCUCAUGAUGACAAGGACUAGCGAAUAAGCCCCGGCCAACUACGUGCCAGCAGCCG
RNAcentral lists this ribosomal RNA (504 nucleotides) under uncultured bacterium. RNAcentral's name for it is "bacterial SSU rRNA". It matches the Rfam family "Bacterial small subunit ribosomal RNA", at positions 29 to 517 of the family's 1533-position model. The record is from RNAcentral.